This 822-nucleotide long non-coding RNA is filed under the name Cyanistes caeruleus (blue tit). Its description in RNAcentral is "lncRNA (ENSCCEG00000007019.1)". Lineage: Eukaryota; Metazoa; Chordata; Aves; Passeriformes; Paridae. The record is from RNAcentral.
UGCAGUUUUGAAUCACAUCCUUGAUGAAAGGGGAAGUCAUUGAAGAAGGAGAGGGAUUCUUCCAAGAAUUUGUUUUUGGCUAUUAGAAGAGCCAUGAAGAAAAGCUCUGGUUACUAUCUGUGCACAGAGAUGCAUUUAGAGUCAUUCUUUCUUGGAAUGGAGCAUCUGUAUUGAAACAUGCUCACCGUCAGCUGCAUGAUGAACAGCAAAGAACCUUCUCUGCAUGUGGAUAAAAGCCAAGCUCAGAUCUGCUAGUGCAAGGUGUUUUUUUUUCUCUGGACAACCAGUUCAGUCUAACUAUACACAUUGUGAAAAUACCCCAGAUAUCAGAGUGAGCAGCAAUAGAUGGAAAAUGAAGGAAGAUUUGGACUGCUGUCAUCCUUCUGAGAACGGCUGUGUGCCUCCUCCAGCAGAGCAGCUAACACACAGCAGCUGUGCUCUCAUCCUGCAAGGUUCUCAGAGGCCUGCUGAGAGAGGAAAAGAUUUGGGACUACUUUUGCUCACAACUACCAGUGCACAGCAUCAAUGUCUUCUGAAACUCACUGGAAGAUUUGACCACAACUUCAAGGACACAUCUGCUCUAUAUUGGAAGCCAAGGAAAGCCAUUAAUCAUUCAAAAUUUGCUGAAGUGUUUGUGAACUGAGCACUCCUGAAUCAGAACAGAAUUUCUAGAGAAACCUGAGCCCAGGUAAGUUUUCUUUUGUUGAUUUUUUUUGUGAAAGUUGUUUUGUACCAACAUCCAAUUUAAGUCAGUUCUUCCUGGUCAGCCUUUCUGUAGCCAUCUCCUACAGAAAGAACCUCCUUGCAGGGUUAGCAGUGAGG